This 540-nucleotide long non-coding RNA is filed under the name Androctonus crassicauda. Lineage: Eukaryota; Metazoa; Arthropoda; Arachnida; Scorpiones; Buthidae. The record is from RNAcentral.
AAUGAUUGUUAUUUUGUCUGAAUGAUGAUUAUGAAGCUCACCAAAACUUCUGGGAAGAGGAAUGGAAGCAGCAUUCUAUUUUCCAAAAGUAUCUUAUACAUGCUCAAUUGGAUUUUGAUUGGAAGUUUUGGCUUGCCAAUCCAUUCAAUCAGUUCCUUAUUCAUCAAGAUAUUGGCCCAUAAGACAAUGUGGGCAAUACCAUCAUCUACCAGUAUGAAUCCUAGCUUUGUUGUACCUGCAAAUGGAAGCAUAUUUAGUUCAAAGAGCUUAUCUCUAUAACAUUGUCCAUUCAAAGUGAUUUCAUCCAAAGAUGUAGCACUCUAUACAGUCAUUGAUAUUGAUCCUUGCCCAUACAAUCAGUUUUUAUCUCUAAAAUGAUUGAUUUCUAUGAUAUUUAAUGCUGAUAUUGUGUAUUAUGUUAUCUAUAAGUCCUCCUAGAAUCUGAUUUCAGACUGAAUUUUGACAAACAUGGUGCCAAUCCAUUUUUUUAGAUAUCUUAUUUUUUAUGUUUGUAACUUAACUUUUGUCCUUCAGAAUACA